GCUGGUCAAUUCGAGUUGAAGUGAGAUGCAAAUUGCGUUAUUAUCUUCAGAUGAUUUGGAACUAUUUCGACUAUCCUAGGAGCUCACUGAUAUGAGGGUGGCGCACAUUAAAAUUCCCUAUCUCAGUUUUGGCCUUUCCCAAGCCGAUGAACCCUUUGGCUCGGCAACGGUAUAAUAUACCGUGUGGAAAUUUUGGGCGCUAUCACUAUUAUACCGAUCCUGGUGAUAGGCAGAUAUUUGGAAAAAGCCCCCUAAUUUCCAAGGGGCUUUGGAAUUAUUUGAUAAUAAGUGUAUUCUCGGCUGAAUAGCUGGGUUAUAAAUUUUGCUGAUCUGGCCUGGGGUUUUGGAUAUUCACACAAUGAGAUAACUAUGGGGGACAAAGCAAGCAUUCUCGCAAAUUGAA
This 403-nucleotide small RNA is filed under the name Histoplasma capsulatum. RNAcentral describes it as "hypothetical RNA". Lineage: Eukaryota; Fungi; Ascomycota; Eurotiomycetes; Onygenales; Ajellomycetaceae. The record is from RNAcentral. RNAcentral also lists the same sequence under 1 other name.